CAGCCGCCGCGGUAAUACGAAGGGGGCUAGCGUUGUUCGGAUUUACUGGGCGUAAAGCGCACGUAGGCGGAUCGAUCAGUCAGGGGUGAAAUCCUGGAGCUCAACUCCAGAACCGCCUUUGAUACUGUCGAUCUCGAGUCCGGAAGAGGUGAGUGGAACUCCUAGUGUAGAGGUGGAAUUCGUAGAUAUUAGGAAGAACACCAGUGGCGAAGGCGGCUCACUGGUCCGGUACUGACGCUGAGGUGCGAAAGCGUGGGGAGCUAACAGGAUUAGAUACCCGCGUAGUCCCUGUCUCUUAUAC
This 301-nucleotide ribosomal RNA is filed under the name uncultured bacterium. Its description in RNAcentral is "partial 16S ribosomal RNA". It matches the Rfam family "Bacterial small subunit ribosomal RNA", at positions 509 to 807 of the family's 1533-position model. The record is from RNAcentral.